RNAcentral lists this ribosomal RNA (623 nucleotides) under Streptococcus mutans. RNAcentral's name for it is "bacterial SSU rRNA". It matches the Rfam family "Bacterial small subunit ribosomal RNA", at positions 377 to 994 of the family's 1533-position model. Lineage: Bacteria; Bacillati; Bacillota; Bacilli; Lactobacillales; Streptococcaceae. The record is from RNAcentral.
GAAAGUCUGACCGAGCAACGCCGCGUGAGUGAAGAAGGUUUUCGGAUCGUAAAGCUCUGUUGUAAGUCAAGAACGUGUGUGAGAGUGGAAAGUUCACACAGUGACGGUAGCUUACCAGAAAGGGACGGCUAACUACGUGCCAGCAGCCGCGGUAAUACGUAGGUCCCGAGCGUUGUCCGGAUUUAUUGGGCGUAAAGGGAGCGCAGGCGGUCAGGAAAGUCUGGAGUAAAAGGCUAUGGCUCAACCAUAGUGUGCUCUGGAAACUGUCUGACUUGAGUGCAGAAGGGGAGAGUGGAAUUCCAUGUGUAGCGGUGAAAUGCGUAGAUAUAUGGAGGAACACCAGUGGCGAAAGCGGCUCUCUGGUCUGUCACUGACGCUGAGGCUCGAAAGCGUGGGUAGCGAACAGGAUUAGAUACCCUGGUAGUCCACGCCGUAAACGAUGAGUGCUAGGUGUUAGGCCCUUUCCGGGGCUUAGUGCCGGAGCUAACGCAAUAAGCACUCCGCCUGGGGAGUACGACCGCAAGGUUGAAACUCAAAGGAAUUGACGGGGGCCGCACAAGCGGUGGAGCAUGUGGUUUAAUUCGAAGCAACGCGAAGAACCUACCAGGUCUGACAUCCGAUGC